GCUUGUCUCAAAGAUUAGCCAUGCAAAUGUAGUCCACUAUCAUAUAAGAUAAAUUAAUUAAUCUUAUAAUGAUUUAGAAAUCUGUAGAUUGCUCAUUAAAAGAGUUAUAUGCUCAGCCAUUGGUAAUAUGAUAAAUUUAUAUUUGUCAUUAUAAGGAUAACGCGGUUAACUUCUGCGAUAAUACUUGAAUUAAAAAAAUAAUGAGUGUUUUUACAUUAGUUAUUUAGUAGUAGAAUUGGGAUGAUUAUCUCUCUAUUAAAACCGUAUUAUUAAUUGUUCUUCGGGAUGAUUAAAUGAUUGGUUAUUGACCGACUUGAUAAAAAAAUGGAUUUUUUUAUUCAGAUUUUAAUAGAUUUGGAUUUAAAAAGAUUCAAAAAGUUGGCCCAGAGGAAGCGUUUCUUACCUAUCAGUUUCUGUCGUUUCAGUAAGGGUGAAACCAGACUACAACGGGUACGGGGAAUUAGUGUUCAAAUCCGGAGAGGGAGCCUGAGAAAUAGCUACCACAUCUAAGGACGGCAGCAGGCGCGAAAAUUACCCAAUGCUAAUUCAGCGAGGUAGUGACGAGAAAUAACGACCUUCUUUUAGAAGGGUAUCGGUCAAACGGUUUGAAAUGGUGGUAGAUCAAAAUUCUAUCAGAGCAACAAUUGGAGGAAAAGUCUGGUGCCAGCACCCGCGGUAAUUCCAGCUCCCAUAGUGUAUUUUAAAGUUGUUGCGGUUAAAACGCUCGUAGUUAAUUUAAGAAUUGGGAACACNGUUUGGAUGUAUUUCAAACAUAAUUAUUUAGUUUGGGAAAUGUUCAUUGAAAUGUUAAUCUAGGUUCUAAGCUUUAUUUUAAAUAAUUUUAAUAUUAUUUGAAUGAGUGGUGAAUAAAAUGUUGAUUUUUGAUUCGUCCCAUUAGAUAGAAUUAAUUUAAUUUAAUUUCUAUUUAAUUUUCAACUGUGAGAAAAUCAAAAUGCUCAAUAUAGACCAUAUUGAUUAUUUAUUCUUUAAAUAAUCUUGUCCGAAUGUUAUAACAUGGUAUUGAGUAAAAGUGACUUGUUUCUUUCGGGAAAUAAGUUACGUUUCGAUUGGGAGACAGGAGGAGGGCUCAGGUAUUGUUUCGUCAGAGGUGAAAUUCAGUGACCGAAGCAAGACUAACAGAUGCGAAAGCUGUAAUGCCCACCACGCCUUCGUCAAUCAGGAACGAAAGUUAGGGAUCGAAGAUGAUUAGAUACCAUUGUAGUCCUAACUGUAAACUAUUAUGACAAUAGGUUGGCAAGAGACCUUUUAUCCAGAUUCCCUCAGAAUAUACAGGAAACUAAAAGUUUUUGAUUUCCGGGGGAAGUAUGGUCGCAAGGCUGAAACUUAAAAGAAUUGACGGAAGAGCACCACCAGGAGUGGAGUUUGCGGCUUAAUUCGACUCAACACGGGAAAUCUCACCAGGUCCGGAUACUAGUAGGAUUGACAGAACAAAGUUCUUUCAUGAUUUGGUAAUUGGUGGUGCAUGGCCGUUCUUAGUUCGUGGAGUGAUUUGUCAGGUUUAUUCCGAUAACGAACGAGACCUUAAUCUAUUAAUUAGGCUGUUGGUAAAUGAGUUAAAUCAUUUAUUAGUUUCUACGGAAACCAACAUAAAUAUCAAGGUAAAACUUGAUUUGCUUCUUAGAGAGACAAUACAACGUUUUUUAUAAUUAGUGUAGGGAGGCUUGAGGCAAUAACAGGUCUGUAAUGCCCUUAGAUGUUCUGGGCAGCACGCGUAUUACAAUAUUAAUACCAACGAGCUUAUCGUGGUUAAAAAUAAUGCCUAUUCUAUUUUGAAACAAGAAUGGGAAAACUUUGCAAAUAUUAAUGUGACUGGGAUAGCUGUUUGGAACUACAUCUUGAACGAGGAAUUCCUAGUAAAUGUAGGUCUACCGGUCGAUUA
Molecule: ribosomal RNA, 1900 nt
Filed under: soil amoeba AND9
Lineage: Eukaryota; Heterolobosea
Description: bacterial SSU rRNA
Rfam family: Eukaryotic small subunit ribosomal RNA
Source: RNAcentral